Molecule: ribosomal RNA, 372 nt
Filed under: uncultured organism
Description: bacterial SSU rRNA
Rfam family: Bacterial small subunit ribosomal RNA
Source: RNAcentral
CGUAGGGUGCGAGCGUUAAUCGGAAUUACUGGGCGUAAAGCGUGCGCAGGCGGUUUAGUGAGACAGGCGUGAAAUCCCCGGGCUCAACCUGGGAACUGCGCUUGUGACUGCUAAGCUAGAGUACGGCAGAGGGGGGUGGAAUUCCACGUGUAGCAGUGAAAUGCGUAGAGAUGUGGAGGAACACCAAUGGCGAAGGCAGCCCCCUGGGUCGAUACUGACGCUCAUGCACGAAAGCGUGGGUAGCAAACAGGAUUAGAUACCCUGGUAGUCCACGCCCUAAACGAUGUCAACUAGGUGUUGGGAGGGUAAAACCUUUUAGUACCGGAGCUAACGCGUGAAGUUGACCGCCUGGGGAGUACGGCCGCAAGGUUA